RNAcentral lists this ribosomal RNA (869 nucleotides) under Lethal yellowing phytoplasma. RNAcentral describes it as "bacterial SSU rRNA". It matches the Rfam family "Bacterial small subunit ribosomal RNA", at positions 530 to 1407 of the family's 1533-position model. Lineage: Bacteria; Bacillati; Mycoplasmatota; Mollicutes; Acholeplasmatales; Acholeplasmataceae. The record is from RNAcentral.
GGGGGCGAGCGUUAUCCGGAAUUAUUGGGCGUAAAGGGUGCGUAGGCGGUUUAAUAAGUCUCUAGUUUAAUUUCAACGCUUAACGUUGUCCUGCUAGAGAAACUGUUUAACUAGAGUGAGAUAGAGGUAAGCGGAAUUCCAUGUGUAGCGGUAAAAUGUGUAAAUAUAUGGAGGAACACCAGAGGCGUAGGCGGCUUACUGGGUCUUUACUGACGCUGAUGCACGAAAGCGUGGGGAGCAAACAGGAUUAGAUACCCUGGUAGUCCACGCCGUAAACUAUGAGUACUAAGUGUCGGGGUUAAACUCGGUACUGAAGUUAACACAUUAAGUACUCCGCCUGAGUAGUACGUACGCAAGUAUGAAACUUAAAGGAAUUGACGGGAUCCCGCACAAGCGGUGGAUCAUGUUGUUUAAUUCGAAGAUACACGAAAAACCUUACCAGGUCUUGACAUACUCUGCAAAGCUAUAGAAAUAUAGUGGAGGUUAUCAGGGAUACAGGUGGUGCAUGGUUGUCGUCAGCUCGUGUCGUGAGAUGUUAGGUUAAGUUCUAAAACGAGCGCAACCCCUGUCGUUAAUUGCCAGCACGUUAUGGUGGGGACUUUAGCGAGACUGCCAAUGAAAAAUUGGAGGAAGGUGGGGAUUACGUCAAAUCAUCAUGCCCCUUAUGAUCUGGGCUACAAACGUGAUACAAUGGCUAUUACAAAGAGUAGCUGAAACGCGAGUUUUCGGCAAAUCUCAAAAAAAUAGUCUCAGUUCGGAUUGAAGUCUGCAACUCGACUUCAUGAAGUUGGAAUCGCUAGUAAUCGCGAAUCAGCAUGUCGCGGUGAAUACGUUCUCGGGGUUUGUACACACCGCCCGUCAAACCACGA